This 97-nucleotide non-coding RNA is filed under the name Alkalibacterium sp. 20. Its description in RNAcentral is "THF (Tetrahydrofolate) riboswitch aptamer". It matches the Rfam family "THF (Tetrahydrofolate) riboswitch aptamer". From Rfam's summary of the family: THF riboswitch presents a pseudoknot that joins P1-P2 and the loop of P3 and two THF binding. RNAcentral also lists the same sequence under 1 other name. Lineage: Bacteria; Bacillati; Bacillota; Bacilli; Lactobacillales; Carnobacteriaceae. The record is from Rfam by way of RNAcentral.
AAAAGAGUAAGGGAAAAACGUUAAGUGCUAGGUGGAUGGGAUGUUGCCACUAGACGAAAAAACAAAUGUUUUGCGAUUUUUCUCUGCAUCCGCUUUA